This 265-nucleotide ribosomal RNA is filed under the name uncultured bacterium. RNAcentral's name for it is "partial 16S ribosomal RNA". It matches the Rfam family "Bacterial small subunit ribosomal RNA", at positions 793 to 1055 of the family's 1533-position model. The record is from RNAcentral.
GUCCACGCCGUAAACGAUGAGUACUGGGUGUAGGUGGGGUUAGAGCCAUCUGUGCCGAAGCAAACGCGUUAAGUACUCCGCCUGGGGAGUACGGCCGCAAGGCUAAAACUCAAAGGAAUUGACGGGGGCCCGCACAAGCAGCGGAGCGUGUGGUUUAAUUCGAUGCAACACGAAGAACCUUACCCAGGUUUGACAUGCACGUAGUAGUGAAGCGAAAGCGGAACGACCCUUCGGGGAGCGUGCACAGGUGCUGCAUGGCUGUCGU